This 253-nucleotide ribosomal RNA is filed under the name uncultured bacterium. RNAcentral describes it as "partial 16S ribosomal RNA". It matches the Rfam family "Bacterial small subunit ribosomal RNA", at positions 524 to 776 of the family's 1533-position model. The record is from RNAcentral.
UACGGGGGGGGCAAGCGUUGUUCGGAAUUACUGGGCGUAAAGGGCGCGUAGGCGGUUGGAUAAGUCAGCUGUGAAAACCACGGGCUUAACUCGUGGCCUGCAGUUGAGACUGUCUGGCUUGAGUGUGGGAGAGGAGAGUGGAAUUCCUGGUGUAGCGGUGAAAUGCGUAGAUAUCGGGAGGAACACCGGUGGCGAAGGCGGUUCUCUGGGCCUGUACUGACGCUGAGGAGCGAAAGCGUGGGGAGCGAACAGG